This 532-nucleotide ribosomal RNA is filed under the name uncultured Burkholderiales bacterium. RNAcentral's name for it is "bacterial SSU rRNA". It matches the Rfam family "Bacterial small subunit ribosomal RNA", at positions 143 to 670 of the family's 1533-position model. Lineage: Bacteria; Pseudomonadati; Pseudomonadota; Betaproteobacteria; Burkholderiales. The record is from RNAcentral.
AUAGCCCGGCGAAAGCCGGAUUAAUACCGCAUGAGACCUGAGGGUGAAAGCGGGGGAUCGCAAGACCUCGCGCUAUUGGAGCGGCCGAUAUCAGAUUAGCUAGUUGGUGGGGUAAAGGCCUACCAAGGCAACGAUCUGUAGUUGGUCUGAUAGGACGACCAGCCACCCUGGGACUGACACACGGCCCACACUCCUACGGAAGGCAGCAGUGGGGAAUUUUGGACAAUGGGCGCAAGCCUGAUCCAGCAAUGCCGCGUGCAGGAGGAAGGCCUUCGGGUUGUAAACUGCUUUUGUCAGGGAAGAAAUCUUCUGGGUUAAUACCUCGGGAGGAUGACGGUACCUGAAGAAUAAGCACCGGCUAACUACGUGCCAACAGCCGCGGUAAUACGUACGGUGCGAGCGUUAAUCGGAAUUACUGGACGUAAAGCGUGCGCAGGCGGCUUUGCAAGACAGAUGUGAAAUCCCCGGGCUCAACCUGGGAACUGCAUUUGUGACUGCAAGGCUAGAGUACGGCAGAGGGGGAUGGAAUUCC